This 465-nucleotide ribosomal RNA is filed under the name uncultured bacterium. Its description in RNAcentral is "partial 16S ribosomal RNA". It matches the Rfam family "Bacterial small subunit ribosomal RNA", at positions 28 to 507 of the family's 1533-position model. The record is from RNAcentral.
GACGGACGCUGGCGGCGUGCUUAACACAUGCAAGUCGUACGGUAAGGCCCUUUCGGGGGUACACGAGUGGCGAACGGGUGAGUAACACGUGAGUAACCUGCCCACAACUUUGGGAUAACGCUAGGAAACUGGUGCUAAUACUGGAUAUGUGCCCCUGCUGCAUGGUGGGGGUUGGAAAGCUCCGGCGGUUGUGGAUGGACUCGCGGCCUAUCAGCUUGUUGGUGGGGUAGUGGCCUACCAAGGCGGCGACGGGUAGCCGGCCCGAGAGGGUGACCGGCCACAUUGGGACUGAGAUACGGCCCAGACUCCUACGGGAGGCAGCAGUGGGGAAUAUUGCACAAUGGGCGCAAGCCUGAUGCAGCAACGCCGCGUGCGGGAUGACGGCCUUCGGGUUGUAAACCGCUUUCAGCAGGGACGAAGCUUUUUGUGACGGUACCUGCAGAAGAAGCACCGGCUAACUACGUG